UACGAAGGGGGCGAGCGUUGUUCGGAAUCACUGGGCGUAAAGCGUGCGUAGGCGGCGAUAAAAGUUAGAAGUGAAAGCCCAGGGCUCAACCUUGGAAUUGCUUUUAAAACUAGAUUGCUAGAAUUCGGGAGAGGAUAGCGGAAUUGUCAGUGUAGCAGUGAAAUGCGUAGAUAUUGACAGGAACACCAGUGGCGUAAGCGGCUAUCUGGACCGACAUUGACGCUGAGGCACGAAAGCGUGGGGAUCAAACAGG
RNAcentral lists this ribosomal RNA (253 nucleotides) under uncultured Dongia sp. Its description in RNAcentral is "partial 16S ribosomal RNA". It matches the Rfam family "Bacterial small subunit ribosomal RNA", at positions 524 to 776 of the family's 1533-position model. Lineage: Bacteria; Pseudomonadati; Pseudomonadota; Alphaproteobacteria; Rhodospirillales; Dongiaceae. The record is from RNAcentral.